UGUGUUUGCAUAUGUGUCCGUCCUCUGUGCUCCAGCCGUUAAGAGGCCAGUGUUGAUCAGUGUGUGUCCAGGCCUUUCACAGCCACUGACACACCAACAACACAAUGAUGAUGUCCCUCAUGUUCCUGCUGGCCACCCUGGGGCUCCUUGUUCAGGGUUCAUCAGGAGAUAUUAUCCUGACUCAGACUCCCAAAGCUCAGUCUUUUGUUCCAGGAAACACUGUUUCCAUCAGAUGUAACGUCAACCCAAGUCCUAGUUAUUGUUUCAACUGGUACCGUCAGAAACCUGGAGAAGCUCCUACACUGCUAAUUUAUUGUGCUACAAACCGUCAGUCUGGAAUUUCCAGUCGUUUCAGUGGAAGUGGAUCUGGAUCUGACUACACUCUGACCAUCAGUGAUGUUCAGGCUGAAGAUGCAGGAGUUUAUUACUGUCAGAGUGGACACUCUAUCAACAGUCAGUAUGUGUGGACGUUCGGUGGAGGAACCAGACUGGAGAUAAACUUGGGUCGAGUGGAGCCCACCCUGACGGUGCUGCCCCCCUCCAGAGAGGAGCUGCAGCAGGGGAAGGUCACGCUCAUGUGCCUGGCCAACAAGGGCUUCCCCUCAGACUGGAGUCUGUCCUGGAAGGUGGACUGCAGCGGCGGCGGCGGCGGAUGGGAGGAGAGCAGGAGCCCCGCGGUGCUGCAGAAGGACGGCCACUACAGCUGGAGCAGCACCCUGAGGCUCCCUGCAGACCAGUGGAGGAAGGUGGGCUCUGUGACCUGUGAGGCCACCCAGGGCUCCCAGUCUGCACUCUCACACACACUGAGGACACACCAGUGUUCCCAGUACUGAGCCCACUCACUGGGGAUCACCUACUGCUCUGACUCUGCUCAUCAGCUCACUCUGUCUCUCCAACUCUCUGGCUUUGUGUCAUUUCAACACUUUGAACAGCAAACAUUUUCAGGCUUCUCUCACUGCUGCAAUAUUGUUUCAGUGUUUGACCACAAAUAAACUGUUUCUACAUCAAA
Sphaeramia orbicularis (orbiculate cardinalfish) is the source of this 1009-nucleotide non-coding RNA. NCBI's taxonomy places the organism in Eukaryota, Metazoa, Chordata, Actinopteri, Kurtiformes, Apogonidae. The record is from the annotation of a RefSeq genome assembly.